AGCAGUGUGGUGUAGUGGUCAGAGUGUUGGACUAUGACUCUGGAGACCAGGGUUUGAAUCCCCGCUCAACCC
Molecule: non-coding RNA, 72 nt
Organism: Phrynosoma platyrhinos (Desert horned lizard)
Lineage: Eukaryota; Metazoa; Chordata; Lepidosauria; Squamata; Phrynosomatidae
Source: the annotation of a GenBank genome assembly